Long non-coding RNA from Mytilus trossulus (common blue mussel), 403 nucleotides. RefSeq lists it as uncharacterized. The transcript is spliced from 4 exons. NCBI's taxonomy places the organism in Eukaryota, Metazoa, Mollusca, Bivalvia, Mytilida, Mytilidae. The record is from RefSeq and is a predicted model, not a curated record.
UAAGCAGUUUCAAUUUUAUCGUACAUCACGUCUUUUGUUAUGUUAAUUUCAAUUACUUUAAAUUUCUGGUCGAGUGAUCAUUUACCACGUGCGAUUUGUUAAAGGGAUGUGUAGUUCAUUCAUAAAUAAAAUGGAUUAAUGAUUUUGAUUCCCAAUAAGGAUUAAUUUCAAAGAUAUGAACUGUUGCAAUGACCUUAGAAAAGAAACCUGCACAACUGGGCGAGGACCUGCUGAAGGCUGCCGGCUACGGAGAUAGACACACAUUAGAAAGAUGCUUAGAUGGAGGAGCAAAUAUUAAUUAUCAAAAUGUUAAUGGAGGGACUGCGCUUUACUAUGCUGCAUUGAAUAGAAACAUAGAUAUCGUCAGGUUGCUAAUUGAUGGUGGUAUAAACCUCAAUUUACA